RNAcentral lists this ribosomal RNA (569 nucleotides) under Streptococcus uberis. RNAcentral describes it as "bacterial SSU rRNA". It matches the Rfam family "Bacterial small subunit ribosomal RNA", at positions 135 to 692 of the family's 1533-position model. Lineage: Bacteria; Bacillati; Bacillota; Bacilli; Lactobacillales; Streptococcaceae. The record is from RNAcentral.
AGCGGGGGAUAACUAUUGGAAACGAUAGCUAAUACCGCAUGACAAUAGGGUACACAUGUACCCUAUUUAAAAGGGGCAAAUGCUUCACUAUGAGAUGGACCUGCGUUGUAUUAGCUAGUUGGUAAGGUAACGGCUUACCAAGGCGACGAUACAUAGCCGACCUGAGAGGGUGAUCGGCCACACUGGGACUGAGACACGGCCCAGACUCCUACGGGAGGCAGCAGUAGGGAAUCUUCGGCAAUGGGGGGAACCCUGACCGAGCAACGCCGCGUGAGUGAAGAAGGUUUUCGGAUCGUAAAGCUCUGUUGUUAGAGAAGAACGGUAAUGGGAGUGGAAAAUCCAUUACGUGACGGUAACUAACCAGAAAGGGACGGCUAACUACGUGCCAGCAGCCGCGGUAAUACGUAGGUCCCGAGCGUUGUCCGGAUUUAUUGGGCGUAAAGCGAGCGCAGGCGGUUUGAUAAGUCUGAAGUUAAAGGCUGUGGCUUAACCAUAGUUCGCUUUGGAAACUGUCAAACUUGAGUGCAGAAGGGGAGAGUGGAAUUCCAUGUGUAGCGGUGAAAUGCGUA